AUAGGGGAGCCGUAGGGAAACCGAGUCUUAACUGGGCGAAUGAGUUGCAGGGUAUAGACCCGAAACCCGGUGAUCUAUCCAUGGGCAGGUUGAAGGUUGGGUAACACUAACUGGAGGACCGAACCGACUAAUGUUGAAAAAUUAGCGGAUGACUUGUGGAUGGGGGUGAAAGGCCAAUCAAACCGGGAGAUAGCUGGUUCUCCCCGAAAGCUAUUUAGGUAGCGCCUCGUGAACUCAUCUUCGGGGGUAGAGCACUGUUUCGACUAGGGGGUCAUCCCGACUUACCAACUCGAUGCAAACUGCGAAUACCGAAGAAUGUUAUCACGGGAGACACACGGCGGGUGCUAACGUCCGUCGUGAAGAGGGAAACAACCCAGACCGCCAGCUAAGGUCCCAAAGUCAUGGUUAAGUGGGAAACGAAGUGGGAAGGCUCAGACAGCCAGGAUGUUGGCUUAGAAGCAGCCAUCAUUUAAAGAAAGCGUAAUAGCUCACUGGUCGAGUCGGCCCGCGCGGAAGAUGUAACGGGGCUAAACCAUGCACCGAAGCUGCGGCAGCGACACAAAGUGUUGUUGGGUAGGGGAGCGUUCUGUAAGCCUGCGAAGGUGUACUGUGAGGUAUGCUGGAGGUAUCAGAAGUGCGAAUGCUGACAUAAGUAACGAUAAUGCGGGUGAAAAACCCGCACGCCGGAAGACCAAGGGUUCCUGUCCAACGUUAAUCGGGGCAGGGUGAGUCGACCCCUAAGGCGAGGCUGAAAAGCGUAGUCGAUGGGAAACGGGUUAAUAUUCCCGUACUGGUGGUAACUGCGAUGGGGGAACGGAGAAGGCUAGGUUGUCCGGGCGACGGUCGUCCCGGUUCAAGCAGGUAGGCAGAGUGAUUAGGCAAAUCCGGUCACUUAAUGCUGAGAUGUGAUGACGAACCACCAAGGUGGUGAAGCAAUUGAUGCCCCGCUUCCAGGAAAAGCCUCUAAGCUUCAGGUUACCAACAAUCGUACCCCAAACCGACACAGGUGGUCAGGUAGAGAAUACUCAGGCGCUUGAGAGAACUCGGGUGAAGGAACUAGGCAAAAUGGUGCCGUAACUUCGGGAGAAGGCACGCUGGCGGUAGGUAAAGUCCCUUGCGGACGGCGCUGAAGCCAGUCGAAGAUACCAGCUGGCUGCAACUGUUUAUUAAAAACACAGCACUGUGCAAACACGAAAGUGGACGUAUACGGUGUGACGCCUGCCCGGUGCUGGAAGGUUAAUUGAUGGGGUUAGCGUAAGCGAAGCUCCUGAUCGAAGCCCCAGUAAACGGCGGCCGUAACUAUAACGGUCCUAAGGUAGCGAAAUUCCUUGUCGG
This 1335-nucleotide ribosomal RNA is filed under the name Proteus mirabilis. Its description in RNAcentral is "partial 23S ribosomal RNA". It matches the Rfam family "Bacterial large subunit ribosomal RNA", at positions 657 to 1975 of the family's 2925-position model. The record is from RNAcentral. Lineage: Bacteria; Pseudomonadati; Pseudomonadota; Gammaproteobacteria; Enterobacterales; Morganellaceae.